AUUGAACGCUGGCGGCAGGCCUAACACAUGCAAGUCGAACGCGUGGCGGACGGGUGAGUAAUGUCUGGGAAACUGCCUGAUGGAGGGGGAUACCUACUGGAAACGGUAGCUAAUACCGCUUACCAUCCGAUUUGCGCAGAUGGAAUUCGCUUGUUGGUGGGGUAACGGCUCACCAAGGAGACGAUCCCUAGCUGGUCUGCGAGGAUGACCGGCCACACUGGAACUGAGACACGGUCCAGACUCCUACGGGAGGCAGCAGUGGGGAAUAUUGCGCAAUGGGCGCAAGCCUGAUGCAGCCAUGCCGCGUGUAUGAAGAAGGCCUUCGGGUUGUAAAGUUCUGUCAGCGGGGAGGCGUUACCCACAGAGAAAGCACCGGCUAACUCCGUGCCAGCAGCCGCGGUAAUAC
RNAcentral lists this ribosomal RNA (406 nucleotides) under uncultured bacterium. RNAcentral describes it as "partial 16S ribosomal RNA". It matches the Rfam family "Bacterial small subunit ribosomal RNA", at positions 30 to 526 of the family's 1533-position model. The record is from RNAcentral.